CCUACGGGUGGCUGCAGUGGGGAAUAUUGGACAAUGGGCGAAAGCCUGAUCCAGCCAUGCCGCGUGUGUGAAGAAGGCCUUCGGGUUGUAAAGCACUUUCAGUGGGGAAGAAAGCCUUGGGGCUAAUACCCUCGAGGAAGGACAUCACCCACAGAAGAAGCACCGGCUAACUACGUGCCAGCAGCCGCGGUAAUACGGAGGGUGCGAGCGUUAAUCGGAAUUACUGGGCGUAAAGCGCGCGUAGGCGGUCUGAUAAGCCGGUUGUGAAAGCCCCGGGCUCAACCUGGGAACGGCAUCCGGAACUGUCAGGCUAGAGUGCAGGAGAGGAAAGUAGAAUUCCCGGUGUAGCGGUGAAAUGCGUAGAGAUCGGGAGGAAUACCAGUGGCGAAGGCGGCCUUCUGGACUGACACUGACGCUGAGGUGCGAAAGCGUGGGUAGCAAACAGGAUUAGAUACCCGAGUAGUC
RNAcentral lists this ribosomal RNA (465 nucleotides) under Vreelandella stevensii. RNAcentral's name for it is "partial 16S ribosomal RNA". It matches the Rfam family "Bacterial small subunit ribosomal RNA", at positions 338 to 795 of the family's 1533-position model. Lineage: Bacteria; Pseudomonadati; Pseudomonadota; Gammaproteobacteria; Oceanospirillales; Halomonadaceae. The record is from RNAcentral.